CAUGUCUUUUUGAUUAUAAUUUAAAGUCUAAUCUGCUCAAUGAUAAUUUAAAUUGCCGCAGUAUUUUAACUGUGCAAAGGUAGCAUAAUAAUUAGUUAUUUUAUUGAUAGCUGGAAUGAAUGAUUGGACAAGAAAAUUACUGUCUCUGAUUAAUUAUUUUUGAAAUUAAUUUUUAAGUUAAAAAGCUUAAAUUUUUUUUAUAGACGAGAAGACCCUAUAGAGUUUUAUUUUAUUAGUUUAUAUUAUUAUUUAGUAAUAAUUUAUUUUAUUAAAUUAAUUAAAUUUAAUUGGGGUGAUUAAAAAAUUUAAUAAACUUUUUUAAAUUUUAAUUACUUAUUUGUAAAUUUUGAACCUAGAAGUUUUAAGUUUAAAAUAAAUUACCUUAGGGAUAACAGCGUAAUUUUUAUUUAAAGUUCUUAUUUAAAUAAAAGUUUGCGACCUCGAUGUUGGAUUAAAGUUUACUGUUGGUGCAGAAGCUGAUAGGUUGAGUCUGUUCGACUUUUAAAAUUUUACAUGAUCUGAGU
RNAcentral lists this ribosomal RNA (524 nucleotides) under Malthodes sp. UPOL 000M20. RNAcentral's name for it is "partial 16S ribosomal RNA". The stretch from base 388 to 524 matches the Rfam family "Bacterial large subunit ribosomal RNA", at positions 2473 to 2610 of the family's 2925-position model. The record is from RNAcentral. Lineage: Eukaryota; Metazoa; Arthropoda; Insecta; Coleoptera; Cantharidae.